Hippoglossus stenolepis (Pacific halibut) is the source of this 3947-nucleotide long non-coding RNA. RefSeq lists it as uncharacterized. NCBI's taxonomy places the organism in Eukaryota, Metazoa, Chordata, Actinopteri, Pleuronectiformes, Pleuronectidae. The record is from RefSeq and is a predicted model, not a curated record. The transcript is spliced from 2 exons.
GCUCUCAUAUGGACAGUGGAUCUCUUGGGACAACUGCCUAAAAGUCUCCCUCUGUCUCUACUGUUACUCCUGGCUGUGUGUGAGAGGCUGAGUGGGUCGCUGCUCUGCUGUGUCUCCAGAGUGAUUUAUCAGGUUUUCAGGGAGGGGAGGUAGGGAGAGGGGGGAGAGGAGGGAGACAACUCCGGUGGCAGGCAGGCAGCAGUUACCAGCCAGCUGGCUGGGUGUGUUAACUCCACAUCUCCACAUCUGACCUCUAUGGGAACAGAGCAGCCUCCACUCCUCUCCUGGCAGGCUGUGGGAACGAGGAACAGGUCUUCAUUUUUACCCCCCGAGCCCCGGGGAACCAACCCCCGGACAGAGCAGGACAUGACAGGACACCUUUGGCACGAAGAGCCCAGUUGGAGACCUGGGCUCUGAGGAUUGCGCUGCCGACUGACUCUUGGAUCUGAGAUGGCACAGUUGGCAGAUUUUGGUUGAUAGUCAGGAAGUCGUGCAGUUGUCCAGUCAGUCAGUAGGCAGUCAGAUGGUUAGUCAGUCAGACAGUACAUUGGUCUCUUGUGUCCUUCCCAAAGGGUCAACUCUGCCACUUUGUGCAUAUUCUCAUCUGAACUCUGAGGUGACUCAGAUCUACCGAGUAGCAACAGUGGACCUGUGGGCAUGGUCACAGGUGCUCCGCAGCUGCGUGUGGAAGAAAGCAUCUGGAGCGCAGGAGGAUGUUGGAGAAGAUACAGCGGGCAGGGAAGGGCAGAGAGGUGCGGAGCGGGAUCCUGCCCCUGCCCCGGCUGUGGUGGGGAGGGUUCCUGGCACGGUGAUUUGAUGCACAAAGAGAAACAAAAAUCACAUUGCCAGGGAUUUCCACUCCUUCACAGCUCAGCAGAUGACCCGAUUGCCUCAUUAUGUUUCCACUGGCGGAUGUGUGGUUCUGAUUUUUCUAGUUAUCUGACACGGGAUGUUGCUAUGGAGUCAAAGAAAUAAAUAUUGGUGGAGGUUAGACAGAUAUUGUGAUCAUCUCUCUCAGCAGACUUCAAGACGUCAACUUGUGGAAUUAGAUUGUCACACGUGAGACUGUCUCCCUUAAGAAAUAGUCUAAAAGCAUUUCAGGCUGCAGAGCUGUUAACGAGUAAAUGUGAAGAGCCAUAAAGAUUUACAAGUUUUACCAGGCGGAUCACUUUUCAGCUCUUGGAUUUUAGAUUUAAAAACCAAGGAGACGGUUUUCGAUUUCAUAAACGCUAGGAUCCUCCACUGGCUGCACAGUGAAACCCAAUAUGAAUGAGCCCUCUUGAAACUGAAGUAAACCCUAAGCAUCGUAAGAGACUUUGCAACCAGCCAAACUUUACCACUGAUCACGUAAAGGUCUGCGUGAGUCUCUGUUCCCUCAGAAAGCCAGCCACCCACUUGCUAAAGGCACAGAGCUUAGCUAAUUGGUGAGCAUUGAUCCCUGCUAUGUGUUGUUCACAGUGGCUAAGUUCAGUGCCUGAGGUGAAAUAGUUGAUUCGACGGUGGGGAAUUUGUUUCAGUGAAUGGAAUGAACCUGAUGAUCUCGGAUAUGAAGAAAGGAGGAGGGAGGAGGAGAUUAGGUAGCAAAAGAGCGAGUGACGCUGGGAGGUGAGAAGACAGACACCCGGGGGAUCAAGGUCCUAUAUGGAAUUAAACCUGUUCUGUGGACCGUACGCAGGUCUCGAUUGUGCAACGUGGUCCAGACGUGAGGAGAGCUGUGUGUUUUUUAUUGUGUGCCUGAAGCAACGACUGAGUUAUCUUACCUUUUGCAUCUGGCAAGAAUCACUGUGUGCGUGUUUGAAAGCGUUUCACUGAGACAGUUUUACCGAGGUUUAUUGUGGACUUAUUAAAUGCCACGAGUUGUGCUGAGAUUUUAGGAAUGUGGUGCUAAAUGUCAAGCCUGUCCGAGCAUGCCCGGCUGAGUCAGCUCAGGACCAGUGUGCCAGUACUCGGGUGCCACAUGGCAGCCGGGACUUAUGUGUUGAAGGCGUGGGUGCGAUGAGAGUGUAGGCUAAUGUUAGCAGCUACAUCACGCUCUUCAUUACCCUGCGCACCGACAUAGCCGGGCAAUCAGGAUAUUGUUUUCACCUCUGUGUGUGUGUGUGUGUGUGUGUGUGUGUGUGUGUGUGUGUGUGUGUGUGUGUGUGUGUGUGUGUGUGUGUGUGUGUGUGUGUGUGUGUGUGUGUGUGUGUGUGUGUGUGUGUGGACAAAAUAUCUCAACAACUCAUGGGUGGAUUUCCACCAAACUUGGAUGGAAUAUUACUUGGGAGGGUAUCACAAGAUGAUUUACUUUUGGAGCUAAUCUGUCAAAGGUCACGGACCGCAACAGUAAAAAACAUGGUCUGAAGAGAGACAAUGAGGUUUAUGCUGAUCAGACAUAUAUCCCCCAGCAAUUGACAUCAUAUCACAAAGAAGUCAGGAAGUGCAUCAUAUUAAACGUAUGUGGAUAAAAAAAUGAUUUAGCUUCCUCUUGACGUCAUCAUGAAGUUAGUAAGUGACGUCAGUUAGUUUAGUGCUACCAAUAUGAUUAGUAACACAUGCUACAGUUUAUUUAGAAUAACUAAUCAUGUUGAAUCUGUAAUGCAUAUUAAAAGAAUCAGUCCAAUAGCCUACAUCAUACAUGGGUCAGUCCAGGAAAGGCAGGCAGGCUAAACAGGUGUUGCAGCAGUAGCAAAAAGGAGGGACAGGGGUUAAAGUAUGUUCUUACUCUGCAUGUUACCAUCUAAUCUUUUGUUGGAUUAUAAAAAUGCCGGGUGUCUCAGCUCGCACGCUGCCCCCCCACGCUGCCCCAUGAUCUCUGGGCUAUGCCCUCCCGUGCCUACUGAACUGGUAUCAGUGUUUAAUCUGAAAACUGGCUCAGUUCAGCAGGAACAGGAGUGGAGUCCUCUUACUGGCAAGAUCUGUCCCGUGUUACAUCUCCAACCCGCAGUGAGCAUGCAGCAAGGCAGCCCAGCCCAGAUCUGGCAUUUUGGUGUCGCCUCGUUCCUUUGACCACACCCAGAGAUGCACGGGAAGUUAGCCUCGAGCCACUGGCCCUGGUGAAAAGUAAACGUGACCCAUACAACCUGUCAGACGACAGCACUGAACCUUGAAGCGUAUGUAAAGCAGAGCAGCUUGAGUGUAAUCACUGUCCGUGUCUUUGAUAAAGCAUGAAUGUUUCAUAAGCAGAUUUACAUUUUCUUUGCGUAUUAGGUCGGCCCUGGCGUCCCGAGCUGUUGAAUACUGUCACUGAUGCAGUCGAUCUUUUUGUUCUGCUCAGCCUUCAUGUUUAUUUGAGCAUUCUUCCAUCGACAAGGCUGCAAACGCGUCUCUUACACUCUCACGCCCGUGUCUCUCUCUCUCUGACUCCUUCUGUCUGUGUGUGCUGUCAAAGGCCAGGCGGAGACUGGAGUUCAUUGUGAGGUAAUUCCAGUGAAAUGUGCCUGUGUGUAAUUGAUGUCACCCAGCAGUCUCCAUUAUCUGUGAUUGGGAAUGUGCACAACGCUGCUUCCUCCCAACUCUCCAGAUAAUUUGCAGCCACCAAAGGAAAAAGCGCUUCAUCUUGAAGAUAUUCAUACCCACAGGAAAAUGGAAGCUCGUUAGCAGAUGUGAUGAAUCUGCUCUUAUCCCGCUACUCCGCCGAUCGUGGUUGACACCAUAACAUUAUUUUUUAUGUCUUUAGGAGAUUACCAGCACUAUAGUUAGAAAUUUUUUUUUACAUUGUGUCAGUGGUGUGAUGUUGUCUUCAGGGCAUUGUUCAGCCAGGUGUUACCGCUGACACAUUAGCUAUGAGUUAUGUAAGCACUUAAUCUGACUAAAUGUUGCAUGAGCUUUAUUAUUGUAAAUGUCACUAAGUUUCCAACUACUUUCCUAUCAUGAGGAGCGUGAUUUAUUUUGAUAUUGCAGGUGCAACCAAUGUUUCAUUUAAUCACUGAACUUACCACAAUCUAAUAAAAUACACUUUGAAUGAG